AGAGUUUGAUCCUGGCUCAGGAUGAACGCUGGCGGCGUGCUUAACACAUGCAAGUCGAGCGAAGCACUUUAACGGAAUUCUUCGGAAGGAAGAUAAAGUGACUGAGCGGCGGACGGGUGAGUAACGCGUGGGUAACCUGCCUCACACAGGGGGAUAACAGUUAGAAAUGGCUGCUAAUACCGCAUAAGACCACAGUACCGCAUGGUGCAGGGGUAAAAACUCCGGUGGUGUGAGAUGGACCCGCGUCUGAUUAGGUAGUUGGUGAGGUAACGGCUCACCAAGCCGACGAUCAGUAGCCGACCUGAGAGGGUGACCGGCCACAUUGGGACUGAGACACGGCCCAGACUCCUACGGGAGGCAGCAGUGGGGAAUAUUGGGCAAUGGGCGAAAGCCUGACCCAGCAACGCCGCGUGAGGGAAGAAGGUUUUCGGAUUGUAAACCUCUGUCCUAAGGGACGAAGGAAGUGACGGUACCUUAGGAGGAAGCCCCGGCUAACUACGUGCCAGCAGCCGCGGUAAUACGUAGGGGGCGAGCGUUGUCCGGAAUGACUGGGCGUAAAGGGCGUGUAGGCGGCAGUAUAAGUCCGGAGUGAAAGUCCUGCUUUCAAGGUGGGAAUUGCUUUGGAGACUGUACAGCUUGAGUGCGGAAGAGGUAAGUGGAAUUCCCAGUGUAGCGGUGAAAUGCGUAGAGAUUGGGAGGAACACCAGUGGCGAAGGCGACUUACUGGGCCGUAACUGACGCUGAGGCGCGAAAGCGUGGGGAGCGAACAGGAUUAGAUACCCUGGUAGUCCACGCGGUAAACGAUGAAU
RNAcentral lists this ribosomal RNA (809 nucleotides) under uncultured bacterium. RNAcentral describes it as "bacterial SSU rRNA". It matches the Rfam family "Bacterial small subunit ribosomal RNA", at positions 8 to 814 of the family's 1533-position model. The record is from RNAcentral.